RNAcentral lists this unclassified non-coding RNA (1272 nucleotides) under Bombus terrestris (buff-tailed bumblebee). Its description in RNAcentral is "misc RNA ENSBTSG00005034318.1". The record is from RNAcentral. Lineage: Eukaryota; Metazoa; Arthropoda; Insecta; Hymenoptera; Apidae.
GAGGUUCUCCCUUGAAACAGGGGGACAAUCUUCCCCUGUUCAUUGUGAGAAUUUCUAAUUGUUCGCCAAUGUUCCGGAUAUGGUAAGGGAAUUUUUCUCUGGGAAAAUGGUACGUGGGAUUAUCUCUUACCAUAUAGCGUAUGGAUUAUCGAGAAAUUAUAAUUUUUUCAAGAAAUUUAACAGUUGAAAAGCAGUGCGUAAGUGUCUGGUGUUUUUAUUGUAGUUGGCAAAUAAAUAAUGGCGGAUUUUGUCAUUAGUUGGUAUUCACAAAAUCCGCAAUCACUUAGUUGCCAAUAGAAAUGAAAUUAUGUAAAUCAUUGGCGAUAUCAUGUAAUGUUAUAGGUUUGAUAAUAUUAGCAUCAGUAUUAGUAAUAUUAAUAGCUGUAAAUAAUAGGAUGAUGUAUUUUAACAGUAUAAUUAAUAUUAAAAGUAGGGUAAGAGGAUUUUUCUUUCGAUAUGGAAGAUGUGACUUUCUGUUAGAAAAUUGUGUACGUAUUGUGAAAAAAUUACAAGUUCUCUAGGAAAUUAGGCGAUUUAAUCGUAACGUACAAAUCAUGCUUUUAGAAAUGAAAUUAUGUAAUUAUUAUUAAUUGUGUAAUUAUUACAGGUAAUCGUGUAAUUAUUAGUAAUUAUUAGUAAUUAUAUAAUUACACAGGUAAUUACGUAAUUAGUAGCGUCGUAUCAUCAUGAUAUUUCAAUGAUGUACUAUUAAAACGAUGCCUGUAAGUUAAAGAAGAACUAAAUAUUAGGAAAAACAUAAGAAGCCACUUCUCAAUUUGUUCAUUUCCUUUCAUCUUCCUCUUCUUCCUUGCGACUCCUAAAAGAUUCUGAAAAGUCACAAGCUUCGAACUUCGAUCUUAUCGAAAUCCCUGAAAUCAGCGAACUCUGAAAAUCGAUAGUUGCCGAGCGAAAAAUCCUAACGGUAUGUAAAAGUUACUAUUGUGAAAAUUUCAUUUCAUCUCUUACAGGUCUCCUUAGUUUUACGGCAAAUAAAAAUUAUAUUUCACUACUAAAAAUGUAAAAAACCAUUUCGCAAAUGAUAGCACUAAACCGACUUACAUCGCCAUAAUCCUCAUCUAGCCAAUUAUCACAAACACAAAACGGUGAUAAUUUCUCACAGAUACGAGCAACAAAUGAAUAACAAAAAAAAAGCGAAACAAAAAGAAAAAGAAACUCUGAAUCGGACAUAGAACGAGCGCAAACGAGGGAAGAACAAUUCUCGCGCCCUUCGUGUGCGGCGAGGUCCGUCCUGCUCGUUUCUUUCUUCUCCGG